Molecule: long non-coding RNA, 632 nt
Filed under: Dasypus novemcinctus (nine-banded armadillo)
Lineage: Eukaryota; Metazoa; Chordata; Mammalia; Cingulata; Dasypodidae
Description: lncRNA (ENSDNOG00000050891.1)
Source: RNAcentral
CUGGGCUUGUUUUGCAGCCAAUGUCUCCCAGGACUUGGCAUGUCCUUCCUUGACGUCGCUGCCCUCGCUACGUUCUGCUGCUGCUGGGCCUUCCACACACCGGGCUCCCGACACAGCUGGUGAAAAGGCCCCCAGAGACCCACAGCCCGGGUGCCAGCUCCACCGUACCCCACCUCCACCCCACCGUAUCCAUAUCGCGCCUCACUCACCACAGCUGGGCUUGGCUCAGAGGCACCCAGGAAGGAGGGGGCAGGGACCCCCGACGGGUGAGGAUAGAGGAGUGCGGGUCCCUCCUCUCGGGAGGCAGAGCAGGGCCUGGCUGAGAAAGGCCCACUCGGAAUUCGGAAGCGCGAACACAGCAAGCAUGGCAGUGACGGUGAGUGGUGCUGGGAGUCCAGGCCCUGAAUCCUGAACACCCCAGGAGGGCGUCUGCCCUGCCCAUCUGGACCAGUGAGCAGAGGGCGCCCGAGCUUGAGGCUCUCAAGGAAGUUUCCCUGCAUCUCCAGAUGGCCUCUGGGCCCCCGGGGCUGUCCCUGAGCCAGUGAGACCAGCCUGGCAGAGCCUGGGGGAUGUCCAGGGGCUCCAGGGCUCAGCCCCUGGAUGUGAGGACCCCUGGGGGCUUCAGAGGGGGA